UGAAUUCCUUGAAGUCAAACUGAUUAAUAAAUCAUUGCCGAAAAUUUUGGGAUCAUUUCAGUGACUUCUGUACCAAUUAAAGUAAUUACCGUGUUUGAUUGUUACUUUAAUAUUCCUUUUUGGGAUUAUUUGGAAUCACGUCACCAACACAAUCAUGCAAAACUGUUUAGGCGAACCAAUUCAUCACACAUAAAUAGGUUCCUAAUAAUCUUUGAGUGGAAACCCUCAAGAUCACCGAGGGUUCUUUUUCUGGACUCACUCAAUUUAACUAAGACGCAGACGUCACGUCAUUAGUUUGGGGCGUAAUUAGAGCGCCGUUCUCGUCAAACGCCAGUUAAAUGCCCAUAGCCGUUGCAGAACCUCUACCACCCAGAUAAGAUAUCUGUUUGUGCCGUCCCCUUUGUUUACCAAGAAGAUUUAAUUUGAUUUCCACCUGUUACCUACUUAAUUGUUACCUAUGUAGAAAAGUUGUGUUUUACGUUAAAGGAAAGGAAUUUGGUGUAACCCUGAUAUGAUCAUAUCUUGGAAUUUACGUUCUCAUGAGCCAUUUGGUUACGAUAAUUUUUUUUGCCUGAUUUUGUUAUUAAGUUUCCUUUCAAAGUAUUUUCGUUUAUUGUAAUAAAGAAAGUCUAUUAGAGCUAGCUGGCAGGUUGCUUACUGUCGCUCACUGAAAUCGAGAUAUGAGAAAUCUAUUUAUUUAAUGCCCUCCUUGAUCUACAGAUCCUACGUC
Photinus pyralis (common eastern firefly) is the source of this 730-nucleotide long non-coding RNA. RefSeq lists it as uncharacterized. The record is from RefSeq and is a predicted model, not a curated record. The transcript is spliced from 3 exons. Lineage: Eukaryota; Metazoa; Arthropoda; Insecta; Coleoptera; Lampyridae.